GAUGAAGAACGUAGCGAAAUGCGAUACUUGGUGUGAAUUGCAGAAUCCCGUAAACCAUCGAGUCUUUGAACGCAAGUUGCGCCUCAAGCCAUUAGGUUGAGGGCACGUCUACCUGGGCGUCACAUAUCGUUGCCUGAUGCCAGUUUCCUCGUGAUGGGUGACUGUGCAGGGCGAAUGAUGGCUUCCCGUGAGCAUUGUUGCCUCAUGGUUGGUUGAAAAUUGAGUCCUUGGUAGGGAGCGCCGUGAUAGAUGGUGGUUGAGUGACGAACGAGACCCAAUCAUGUGAGACCCCUACCGAAUUUGGCCUUCAUGACCCACAUGCGUCUUUGGAACGCUCAUGACGAGACCUCAGGUCAGGCGGGGCUACCCGCUGAGUUUAAGCAUAUCAAUAAGCGGAGGA
This 400-nucleotide unclassified non-coding RNA is filed under the name soil metagenome. Its description in RNAcentral is "partial contains 5.8S ribosomal RNA, internal transcribed spacer 2, and large subunit ribosomal RNA". The stretch from base 1 to 122 matches the Rfam family "5.8S ribosomal RNA", at positions 35 to 154 of the family's 154-position model. The record is from RNAcentral.